RNAcentral lists this ribosomal RNA (342 nucleotides) under uncultured bacterium. RNAcentral describes it as "bacterial SSU rRNA". It matches the Rfam family "Bacterial small subunit ribosomal RNA", at positions 8 to 352 of the family's 1533-position model. The record is from RNAcentral.
AGAGUUUGAUCCUGGCUCAGAUUGAACGCUGGCGGCAUGCUUUACACAUGCAAGUCGAACGGCAGCACGGGGGCAACCCUGGUGGCGAGUGGCGAACGGGUGAGUAAUACAUCGGAACGUACCCAGUAGUGGGGGAUAGCCCGGCGAAAGCCGGAUUAAUACCGCAUAUGCCCUGAGGGGGAAAGCGGGGGACCGAAAGGCCUCGCGCUAUUGGAGCGGCCGAUGGCUGAUUAGCUAGUUGGUGGGGUAAAGGCCUACCAAGGCGACGAUCAGUAGCUGGUCUGAGAGGACGACCAGCCACACUGGGACUGAGACACGGCCCAGACUCCUACGGGAGGCAGC